This 253-nucleotide ribosomal RNA is filed under the name uncultured bacterium. RNAcentral describes it as "partial 16S ribosomal RNA". It matches the Rfam family "Bacterial small subunit ribosomal RNA", at positions 524 to 776 of the family's 1533-position model. The record is from RNAcentral.
UACAGAGAGUGCAAACGUUGUUCGGAAUUACUGGGCUUGAAGCGCACGUAGGCGGCGUUGUAAGUGUCGGGUGAAAUCCCACGGCUCACCCGUGGAACCGCCCGGCAUACUGCGAUGCUAGAGUGUGGUAGGGGAGAGCGGAACUCCUGGUGGAGCGGUGAAAUGCGUAGAUAUCAGGAGGAACACCGGUGGCGAAGGCGGCUCUCUGGUCCACAACUGACGCUGAGGUGCGAAAGCGUGGGGAGCGAACAGG